Molecule: ribosomal RNA, 411 nt
Filed under: Cryptosporidium parvum
Lineage: Eukaryota; Apicomplexa; Conoidasida; Eucoccidiorida; Cryptosporidiidae
Description: SSU rRNA
Rfam family: Eukaryotic small subunit ribosomal RNA
Source: RNAcentral
AAAUUACCCAAUCCUAAUACAGGGAGGUAGUGACAAGAAAUAACAAUACAGGACUUUUUGGUUUUGUAAUUGGAAUGAGUUAAGUAUAAACCCCUUUACAAGUAUCAAUUGGAGGGCAAGUCUGGUGCCAGCAGCCGCGGUAAUUCCAGCUCCAAUAGCGUAUAUUAAAGUUGUUGCAGUUAAAAAGCUCGUAGUUGGAUUUCUGUUAAUAAUUUAUAUAAAAUAUUUUGAUGAAUAUUUAUAUAAUAUUAACAUAAUUCAUAUUACUAUAUAUUUUAGUAUAUGAAAUUUUACUUUGAGAAAAUUAGAGUGCUUAAAGCAGGCAUAUGCCUUGAAUCCUCCAGCAUGGAAUAAUAUUAAAGAUUUUUACCUCUCUUAUUGGUUCUAAGAUAAGAAUAAUGAUUAAUAGGG